GAUGAACGCUGACGGCGUGCCUAAUACAUGCAAGUCGAGCGAACAGACGAGGAGCUUGCUCCUCUGACGUUAGCGGCGGACGGGUGAGUAACACGUGGAUAACCUACCUAUAAGACUGGGAUAACUUCGGGAAACCGGAGCUAAUACCGGAUAAUAUAUCGAACCGCAUGGUUCAAUAGUGAAAGACGGUUUUGCUGUCACUUAUAGAUGGAUCCGCGCCGCAUUAGCUAGUUGGUAAGGUAACGGCUUACCAAGGCAACGAUGCGUAGCCGACCUGAGAGGGUGAUCGGCCACACUGGAACUGAGACACGGUCCAGACUCCUACGGGAGGCAGCAGUAGGGAAUCUUCCGCAAUGGGCGAAAGCCUGACGGAGCAACGCCGCGUGAGUGAUGAAGGUCUUCGGAUCGUAAAACUCUGUUAUUAGGGAAGAACAAAUGUGUAAGUAACUAUGCACGUCUUGACGGUACCUAAUCAGAAAGCCACGGCUAACUACGUG
This 497-nucleotide ribosomal RNA is filed under the name uncultured bacterium. Its description in RNAcentral is "partial 16S ribosomal RNA". It matches the Rfam family "Bacterial small subunit ribosomal RNA", at positions 28 to 507 of the family's 1533-position model. The record is from RNAcentral.